GACGAACGCUGGCGGCGUGCUUAACACAUGCAAGUGGUGCGACGAACCAGGGCUUGCCCUGGGGCAAAGCCGCGAACGGGUGAGUAACACGUGAGUAAUCUGCCCCGAUGACCGGGACAACCCGAGGAAACUCGGGCUAAUACCGGAUGUGGUGCUUAGGCGUAAGCCUUUUCACUAAAGGAAGCUUCGGCCUCCGCAUUGGGAGGAGCUCGCGGCCCAUUAGCUUGUUGGUGAGGUAACGGCUCACCAAGGCGACGAUGGGUAGCUGGUCUGAGAGGACGAUCAGCCACACUGGGACUGAGACACGGCCCAGACUCCUACGGGAGGCUG
Molecule: ribosomal RNA, 330 nt
Filed under: uncultured Actinomycetes bacterium
Lineage: Bacteria; Bacillati; Actinomycetota; Actinomycetes
Description: bacterial SSU rRNA
Rfam family: Bacterial small subunit ribosomal RNA
Source: RNAcentral